UUUCCAUCCUGUCUCCAUUCUUCCGUAGGGGGAUAUUCAAGCCAGGAUGGCCAGGAGCUAUGCGUUCAUUUCUCCAAACAAAGCGUCUCCAGCCAACGCGCUGCCGUAGUGCAAGUAUUUGGAUGAUACCCAAGCUUCUGUGAGAUGAGUCCCGACAAGUGGGAUGCCAAACGUAUGCUGCAACUGCUGGCUGCUCACUGCAGUGCCACGGCAUCAUGCAAAACUGUUGAGAGCACAUCACACCAGCUGCACUUUUUCCCCUGAAGGAAGGAAGACUCCUUGAUGGGCCUGGAGGCAGUCUGCAUGCUGUUUCUUUAAUCUGACUCUCCUGUCAAAGGGACUGCAUCUGGGGCCAGGAUAUUUUCCAGGUGAGGCACAAACUCCAGCAGUACUCUGACUUUCUCCCAGGAAGAGAAAUCUUAAAGGACUUCAGGAUUAGAGAAGCCUUAGCUUUUGCCAUCCGGACACAGGCAGUUUCACGACAUGACUUUAGUGCUGUUGCUGCAGGACUCCCAGCAGCUCUGAUACCAUUUCAGUGGCACGUCUCAGCCUGAAAUACUUCACUGCCAGCGCUCCCUGUGCAAGUCUGGGCUGGAUUCAGAGGACGCCUCUUUGGAAGCUGCUGACAGAUGCUCCCCGUCCUCCCCAAUGAGGGUUGCAGGCUUCCAGGUACUGCCACCUGUAAGAGGACAGGUCUAUAGCAAAGGAGAUGUCCUGUCCCACUCCCC
RNAcentral lists this long non-coding RNA (728 nucleotides) under Gallus gallus (chicken). Lineage: Eukaryota; Metazoa; Chordata; Aves; Galliformes; Phasianidae. The record is from RNAcentral.